GGGAGAUGAGCUGCCCUUGAGGACAGGGCGGUGGUCAGGAAAUGGCAGACUCCACUCUUUCUGAAAAGAGGCCAGGAGUCCUGGUCUCAGGUCCUUGGGUACUGCAGAGCAGACGUCAUUAGACAUUUCCUUUGAGUAAUCAGGACUGCAGAUUUGCCCUGAGAAGUGCAAAAUCAACACAGAAAUAUCUCUUCCAUCAGUACCUGUGCAUCAGGGCAGAAACUGUAAUUCUUGUCAUUCUUGCCCUUGCUAUGAUGUUUGGCAUCUGAUGAAACAGUGCCUCACAAAGUCCAGCUGCAAUUCUUGCCAGGGCUGAAGCGAGUUCCUCUCCUGGUGUCAGAGGACAGCUUGCUUAUUGUUGUAAAUUUUUUAUUUUCUCAUCAGAGGCUCCCAGCUGUCUCUCCAAAUCUGAAUACAAGAAGUCAAAUGUGAGAGCAGCCAGGUGGAGUUAUUAGCAUUGCGGCAGACCUUCUCAUCUCAGCAGCUGCAUCAGUUAUUCUCGUGUGUUGGCUUGAGAUGCCCUGCACCAAACCAUGGGCCCUUUACUCAAUCGACCCCAUGAUUCGGAAGGCCCCGGCAUCUCGGCAGGCAAAUGACGUGAUGAGGAAGGAGUCAUGGAAGGGCAUUGAGCCAGCACCUUACACAGCAGCUUCAGUUUCCACUGUCAGUGCGUGAUAUGUGAAUGAAAAUCCCUGCGUAGUCAUUAAUGCAUAAUGCCUCAGUCACUGCCUCAAAAAUCAAUCUUUUACUGCCUCAACGAGGAAAAAAAACAAUCCCACUGCUCUCCCAGGCCCUGUAGUGUGAGUCUAUCAUGGCCACUUGGGCAUCACUUGGGCUCAGCUCCCUGACAUGACAGAGUGUAAUAGCUUCAUAAAAAAGCAAGAGUGGUGGUUUUUUCAAACACCAUUUGCUGUGUUUGAACAAAUGUGCUUCAUCACAGCUCCGCCUGCCUGUGGGCUGCUCUGUAGCUGACAGAUAGCCCCAGCCUAAGGAAGCUAAGGUAAAGAUACAUGAAGUUCACCUUCCUGCACACUCAAAAUAUUCAAAUCUUCUCUAACCACAGCCACAGGGCUCGUGCCAAAUAGGUGUGCCCCUUCCUUGAAUUUGUAUGUGUGAAUAUUUCAAGCAGUGAUGGCCCUGUAUACCUUCUAAGGAAAAAUAUGUCUCUCAAAUCAGCUGUUGUUGUUACUUUUUGCCCUUGUGGUUUCCCGGCAUGACCCCAGGCACCUGUUAGUAGCUGUUGUGCUCCAAGACCACAACCUCCUAAACAAAGGUAUUUAUAUUUCAAAGGGGAUGAGGCCUUAUUCAGUUCCUUCCUUCCCCACCUCCUUUAAGAAAAUUCCAGCAUUUGGGCUGGGCGUGG
RNAcentral lists this long non-coding RNA (1363 nucleotides) under Homo sapiens (human). RNAcentral's name for it is "HSALNT0062815". Lineage: Eukaryota; Metazoa; Chordata; Mammalia; Primates; Hominidae. The record is from RNAcentral.